Molecule: ribosomal RNA, 433 nt
Filed under: uncultured bacterium
Lineage: Bacteria
Description: partial 16S ribosomal RNA
Rfam family: Bacterial small subunit ribosomal RNA
Source: RNAcentral
AACGAACGCUGGCGGCAUGCCUAACACAUGCAAGUCGAACGAGAACUCCGUGCCUUGUUGCGCUCGGGUGCGUAACGCGGGGGAAGCUGCCCGUAGGUACCGAAUCCUUCACUUUGGGGGGUGCUAAUGCAGGAUAGUGUAUUCGGACAAAGGAUUUAUCGCCGUUGGCUGGGCCCGGGUUGGUUUAGCUGGUUGGUAGUGUACAAGCCUAUCAAGGGGACGAUGCUUAGCUGGUCUGAGAGCAAGAUCAGCCACACUGGGACUGAGACACGGCCCAGACUCCUACGGGAGGCAGCAGAGGAGAAUAUUGGACGAUGGGCGAAAGCCUGAUCCAGCCACGCCGCGUAAGUGAUGAUGGCGGUAGGGUUGUGAAGCUCUUUGACCCGGGAUGAUAAUGACGGUACCGGGAGAAUAAGCACCGGCUAACUCCGUG